Molecule: non-coding RNA, 90 nt
Organism: Mucilaginibacter sp. OK098
Lineage: Bacteria; Pseudomonadati; Bacteroidota; Sphingobacteriia; Sphingobacteriales; Sphingobacteriaceae
Source: Rfam
CUGAAAGUGGACUGAUUUAAUUGCCUCGUCCCGAUAGCUAUUGGGGGGCACCGGAUUGCAACCACGUAAAAAAGUGCUAAAACCAUGCUU